CAGGAAUGAGAAUAUGGAAUAGACAGUUUCCUAUAACUACCUGUUACAGAGAAUACAGGCCUUCAAGAUAAGACAGCAGCCAUUUGCCAGAUGAGACAGGUAAAACAUGCAAAGGUGACAACAGCCCUUUCACCAUCUCAUAACAACGUCUACAAACCAUGUGGUUCCUGCAGCAAACUGAGAUGUUUCUUUCUGCCUCUACCUGGAUCAGACACUGCAGGUCCUCAAAGCAAGCCUGAAACCAGUGAUAAAAAAGUAAAUUCUACAAAGACAGCUUAACUAUGAGUAUAUUGGCCAGUAUAACAUCUGAAAUCUAAA
This 318-nucleotide long non-coding RNA is filed under the name Cyanistes caeruleus (blue tit). Its description in RNAcentral is "lncRNA (ENSCCEG00000019203.1)". Lineage: Eukaryota; Metazoa; Chordata; Aves; Passeriformes; Paridae. The record is from RNAcentral.